UACGUACUUCCUCCUUUCCAUAUUAGUUGAUUUGGAUGUAUCUAGAUACGGAUGUAUCUAACACUGAAACAUGUCUAGAUAUAUCCGUAUCUAGAUAAAUCUGAGUCAGCUAAUUUGGAACGGAGGGAGUAUUAA
Non-coding RNA from Triticum aestivum (bread wheat), 135 nucleotides. NCBI's taxonomy places the organism in Eukaryota, Viridiplantae, Streptophyta, Magnoliopsida, Poales, Poaceae. The record is from Rfam.